UGGAACUCGACAGGGUAGACAUGAGAACACAUGCGCAAUCAACGGCUGUAAUGAUGCCAUGUCAUGAUUACAAUCUCUCUUUUCAUGUGUUCUCAGGUCACCCCUGCUGAGCUCUU
Molecule: microRNA precursor, 116 nt
Filed under: Eutrema salsugineum
Lineage: Eukaryota; Viridiplantae; Streptophyta; Magnoliopsida; Brassicales; Brassicaceae
Description: MIR398 microRNA precursor family
Rfam family: MIR398 microRNA precursor family
Source: Rfam by way of RNAcentral